UCCUCCUUUACUUGGCACUCUUAGUGGUCCACAAAGAUCCAUACAGAGGAGAUCAAGUGGCCUUGAGGUUCUUACUUCCUUUUUGGGUUUAAAGAGGACCUGAUCUGCAUUCUUUUUACGCAUGCAUCACACGCCUUGUGAUCUUUGAAGCUUGACUUAGGCACUCCACGAACCAAGUCCUUCUUGGCCAAUUUGUUCAGCAAUAUAAAACUUGCAUGGCCCAACCUUCUGUGCCACAAUUCAGCAUCAUUAUCGACAACACUCAGACAUGUGAUAUGCCCAUUUUAUAGGGACUCAAAAUCAGUGACAUAGAUGUUUUUGUAUAUUUUUGCCAUCAGGAUCGCUUCACCAGUCACGAGGUUUGUGACUGUUUAGAUUUUUGACAAAAAUUACACCUUGUUUCCUUUGUCGCUGA
Molecule: long non-coding RNA, 415 nt
Filed under: Nicotiana benthamiana
Lineage: Eukaryota; Viridiplantae; Streptophyta; Magnoliopsida; Solanales; Solanaceae
Description: long non-coding RNA (NBEN_LNC040649)
Source: RNAcentral